Molecule: transfer RNA, 73 nt
Filed under: Stegodyphus mimosarum
Lineage: Eukaryota; Metazoa; Arthropoda; Arachnida; Araneae; Eresidae
Rfam family: tRNA
About the family: Transfer RNA (tRNA) molecules are approximately 80 nucleotides in length. Their secondary structure includes four short double-helical elements and three loops (D, anti-codon, and T loops). Further hydrogen bonds mediate the characteristic L-shaped molecular structure. tRNAs have two regions of fundamental functional importance: the anti-codon, which is responsible for specific mRNA codon recognition, and the 3' end, to which the tRNAs corresponding amino acid is attached (by aminoacyl-tRNA synthetases). tRNAs cope with the degeneracy of the genetic code in two manners: having more than one tRNA (with a specific anti-codon) for a particular amino acid; and 'wobble' base-pairing, i.e. permitting non-standard base-pairing at the 3rd anti-codon position.
Source: Rfam by way of RNAcentral
GCUGCUACAAUGUAAAUGUUUAACAUGCUCAGCUGGUAUUUGAAGAUUUGUGGUUCGAAUCCCAAUAGAAGCA